GCUCCGACUCCGCUCGAAGGCGGCGGCGACGGCGGCUGCAGCAGCAGAAGCCGGCGAGCGAGCGAGGCUCGCCGAAUGGACGGAACGCCUCCGGUACGCCAGUCGACCGUGAGAAGCACAACGCUCGCCUGGAGCCUUCCCGGGCUUCCGCCGCCUUCCGCGGAAGGUGCGGCGCUGCCUUGUGGCGGUGACCGAGGAGAGUGGGGCCUGGGCGGCCUCUCCGGGCUCCCGAAGCCAGACCGCCGCCACGCCGGGAGCUGCUGCGGCCACGCCGGGAGCUGCGGCCUGGGGUCCGAGCGAGCGGGCGAGCGCGGCCUCGGGGGCGGGGAGAAGCCGAGGGUGGCGUGGGUCCGCCCACCGGGGGACGCGCAGCGUGUUUGUGUUUGUGUUUUCCUCGGACACCCCGCCCCCGAGCACCUCCUGCGGGCUGUCCCCGGGCUGUCCCCAGCCUGCUGCGCGGCGCGGCGCGGUGCCUGCGGUGCUUCGGUCCUCCCACCGCCCCGCUACCUGCGCUACCUGGGUGCGCUCCCCGAGACACUCGCCGCACGCCGCCCGCACCUCCCGAGCAUAAUACACUGUGAAACCUGAGGAGCUAUCUCAGCAGAAAAGACCUUGCCUUGUGGACUUCAACUCUGGAGACACUAAGCCCGGCAAGAGAAAAAAGAAAUUGUAAGUAGAGUUCUCAUACAUUAGAUGUGCCUAGUCCCCGGCCAAAUGAUACGGCAGAGAAGGGUACUGGGCCUAGGUGGAAAUGAGUGUGGCGGGUUUA
RNAcentral lists this long non-coding RNA (769 nucleotides) under Mus spicilegus (steppe mouse). Its description in RNAcentral is "lncRNA (ENSMSIG00000009047.1)". Lineage: Eukaryota; Metazoa; Chordata; Mammalia; Rodentia; Muridae. The record is from RNAcentral.